UAGAUUCCAUACGACUGGCGGAUAAGUGAGAGCACUCACAGGGAGUAUGGAGAUGUAUCGAAGCCGACCGCCUGGGCAACCAUU
RNAcentral lists this non-coding RNA (84 nucleotides) under Eubacterium sp. RNAcentral's name for it is "ZTP sequence". It matches the Rfam family "ZMP/ZTP riboswitch aptamer (pfl RNA motif)". From Rfam's summary of the family: Previously known as pfl RNA. ZMP is also known as AICAR. RNAcentral also lists the same sequence under 1 other name. The record is from RNAcentral. Lineage: Bacteria; Bacillati; Bacillota; Clostridia; Eubacteriales; Eubacteriaceae.